RNAcentral lists this ribosomal RNA (493 nucleotides) under uncultured Nitrospinaceae bacterium. RNAcentral describes it as "bacterial SSU rRNA". It matches the Rfam family "Bacterial small subunit ribosomal RNA", at positions 888 to 1382 of the family's 1533-position model. The record is from RNAcentral. Lineage: Bacteria; Pseudomonadati; Nitrospinota; Nitrospinia; Nitrospinales; Nitrospinaceae.
GCCCGCUCAGAACUCAAAGGAAUUGACGGGGGCCCGCACAAGCAGUGGAGUAUGUGGUUUAAUUCGACGCAACGCGAAGAACCUUACCUGGGUUUGACAUGCAGGGGAAAGCUACAGAGAUGUAGCCUCGGCUUCGGUCGCCGCUGCACAGGUGCUGCAUGGCUGUCGUCAGCUCGUGCCGUGAGGUGUUGGGUUAAGUCCCGCAACGAGCGCAACCCUCGUCCUUAGUUGCCAUGCCGCAAGGCGGAACCCUAAGGAGACUGCCGGGGACAACCCGGAGGAAGGUGGGGAUGACGUCAAGUCCUCAUGGCCCUUACAUCCAGGGCUACACACGUACUACAAUGGUCGGUACAGAAGGUUGCAAGACCGCGAGGUGGAGCUAAUCCCAAAAACCGGCCUCAGUUCAGAUUGAAGUCUGCAACUCGACUUCAUGAAGGUGGAAUUGCUAGUAAUCGCAGAUCAGCACGCUGCGGUGAAUACGUUCCCGGGCCUU